This 129-nucleotide non-coding RNA is filed under the name Gibbsiella quercinecans. RNAcentral's name for it is "Moco (molybdenum cofactor) riboswitch". It matches the Rfam family "Molybdenum/Tungsten riboswitch aptamer (Moco RNA motif)", at positions 8 to 125 of the family's 135-position model. Lineage: Bacteria; Pseudomonadati; Pseudomonadota; Gammaproteobacteria; Enterobacterales; Yersiniaceae. The record is from RNAcentral.
AUCAAAACUCCUAGCCCCUGGGCCUGUGUUGUUCCCAUCGAACAAUAUGGCGUUUGGGCCGUGGCGAAGCCUGCCACCAGGGUGCCAGUGGAAACGCCGGCAUCUCCCGUAUUUGGAAAGGUGUUAUGG